RNAcentral lists this ribosomal RNA (253 nucleotides) under uncultured bacterium. Its description in RNAcentral is "partial 16S ribosomal RNA". It matches the Rfam family "Bacterial small subunit ribosomal RNA", at positions 524 to 776 of the family's 1533-position model. The record is from RNAcentral.
UACGAAGGGGGCUAGCGUUGUUCGGAAUUACUGGGCGUAAAGCGUGCGCAGGCGGUUUUGUAAGCCAGAUGUGAAAGCCCCGGGCUCAACCUGGGAAUGGCAUUUGGGACUGCAAGGCUGGAGUACGGCAGAGGGAGGUGGAAUUCCACGUGUAGCAGUGAAAUGCGUAGAGAUGUGGAGGAACACCGAUGGCGAAGGCAGCCUCCUGGGCUAGUACUGACGCUCAUGCACGAAAGCGCGGGGAGCAAACAGG